This 318-nucleotide unclassified non-coding RNA is filed under the name plant metagenome. RNAcentral describes it as "partial contains 5.8S ribosomal RNA, internal transcribed spacer 2, and large subunit ribosomal RNA". The stretch from base 1 to 105 matches the Rfam family "5.8S ribosomal RNA", at positions 50 to 154 of the family's 154-position model. The record is from RNAcentral.
GAAAUGCGAUAAGUAAUGUGAAUUGCAGAAUUCAGUGAAUCAUCGAAUCUUUGAACGCACAUUGCGCCCAUUAGUAUUCUAAUGAGCAUGCCUGUUCGAGCGUCAUUUCAACCCUCAAGCCUUAGUUGCUUGGUGUUGGGAGCUUAUCCUGCCGCAAGGCGGGACAACUCCUUAAAUUUAUUGGCGGAGUCGCGGUGACCCCAAGCGCAGUAAUUCCUUUUCUCGCUUUAGGUGUUAACGCUGGCUUCUAGCCAUUAAACCCCCUAAUUUUCUAAUGGUUGACCUCGGAUCAGGUAGGACUACCCGCUGAACUUAAGC